UGGGGAAUAUUGGACAAUGGGGGCAACCCUGAUCCAGCAAUGCCGCGUGUGUGAAGAAGGUCUUCGGAUUGUAAAGCACUUUCGACGGGGACGAUGAUGACGGUACCCGUAGAAGAAGCCCCGGCUAACUUCGUGCCAGCAGCCGCGGUAAUACGAAGGGGGCUAGCGUUGCUCGGAAUGACUGGGUGUAAAGGGCGUGUAGGCGGUUUACACAGUCAGAUGUGAAAUCCCCGGGCUUAACCUGGGAGCUGCAUUUGAUACGUGUAGACUAGAGUGUGAGAGAGGGUUGUGGAAUUCCCAGUGUAGAGGUGAAAUUCGUAGAUAUUGGGAAGAACACCGGUGGCGAAGGCGGCAACCUGGCUCAUGACUGACGCUGAGGCGCGAAAGCGUGGGGAGCAAACAGGAUUAGAUACCCUGGUAGUCCACGCUGUAAACGAUGUGUGCUAGAUGUUGGGUAACUUUGUUAUUCAGUGUCGCAGUUAACGCGUUAAGCACACCGC
This 500-nucleotide ribosomal RNA is filed under the name uncultured bacterium. RNAcentral's name for it is "partial 16S ribosomal RNA". It matches the Rfam family "Bacterial small subunit ribosomal RNA", at positions 355 to 872 of the family's 1533-position model. The record is from RNAcentral.